AGUCGUAACAAGGUCUCCGUUGGUGAACCAGCGGAGGGGUCAUUGAUGGAAUAAACGCCUCACAGGCGCUACCAUAAACCUUUGUGAAUACUACCUAAAAAUCGUUGCCUCGGCAUUGGUUGGCCUCUUUGAGGUCCUUCUCUAGGGAAGGAGCAGACCGGCCGGUGGCCCUAUAAACUCUUGUCUUUGUAAUAUCAUCUGAGUAAACAACUAAAUGAAUCAAA
RNAcentral lists this unclassified non-coding RNA (224 nucleotides) under plant metagenome. RNAcentral's name for it is "partial contains small subunit ribosomal RNA and internal transcribed spacer 1". The record is from RNAcentral.